AUUGAACGCUGGCGGCAGGCCUAACACAUGCAAGUCGAGCGGAUGAAGGGAGCUUGCUCCUGGAUUCAGCGGCGGACGGGCGAGUAAUGCCUAGGAAUCUGCCUGGUAGUGGGGGAUAACGUCCGGAAACGGGCGCUAAUACCGCAUACGUCCUGAGGGAGAAAGUGGGGGAUCUUCGGACCUCACGCUAUCAGAUGAGCCUAGGUCGGAUUAGCUAGUUGGUGGGGUAAAGGCCUACCAAGGCGACGAUCCGUAACUGGUCUGAGAGGAUGAUCAGUCACACGGGAACUGAGACACGGUCCAGACUCCUACGGGAGGCAGCAGUGGGGAAUAUUGGACAAUGGGCGAAAGCCUGAUCCAGCCAUGCCGCGUGUGUGAAGAAGGUCUUCGGAUUGUAAAGCACUUUAAGUUGGGAGGAAGGGCAGUAAGUUAAUACCUUGCUGUUUUGACGUUACCAACAGAAUAAGCACCGGCUAACUUCGUG
This 484-nucleotide ribosomal RNA is filed under the name uncultured bacterium. Its description in RNAcentral is "partial 16S ribosomal RNA". It matches the Rfam family "Bacterial small subunit ribosomal RNA", at positions 30 to 507 of the family's 1533-position model. The record is from RNAcentral.